AGAGAGUUUAGCAGAGCUCAGAUGUUUGUCCUCGACACAAGCUGAAAUUUGCUCUUCAGCUUAGAGUAAACAGGACAGAGGUGAGAGGAACGGCAGCAGGAAUAGAAGGAGAAGAAGAAGAGAGUGGAGAGGAGGUGAAGACAUGGCCAUGGAGGGAGAAAGGAACAGGACAGAGACUUCAACAGUAGAACUCACCCCAGAGGCCAUCGGCUUUCUGUCGGCGGUGGGCGUCUUUAUCGUGGCCUUGGCUGUUCUCUUCCUCUUCAUCAACAAGAAGCUGUGUUUCGCACGUAUCGGUGGUCUACCGUGUCUGGACCAACCCGGACGCCGACAGAAAGGACGAGCGGGCGUUCGCCAGGGUCUCGUCGUGUGCUGGGAGCCAGAGAUCAGCCACACAGACAGCGCCCACACCAGUGAGGCCUGAGCUGCAGCCGGCAUGGUUGUACUGACAGGACGCUGUGGUUAUUGAUGGUUACGGAUGGUUAUGGUUGUG
Molecule: long non-coding RNA, 493 nt
Filed under: Sphaeramia orbicularis (orbiculate cardinalfish)
Lineage: Eukaryota; Metazoa; Chordata; Actinopteri; Kurtiformes; Apogonidae
Description: lncRNA (ENSSORG00005018909.1)
Source: RNAcentral